AUGGCUAAAGAGUUGUAAAAUAUUUUACUGAUGAAACAGGCCCAGGGAAGAUAAAUUUGAACAUUCUCUCCAAACAAGUGACGCUUUAAGACUGUUCUCGGAAUAUCCUUAGUCAGAAAUGGUGCAGAACAUUGAUGGAGGAGUAGCGACGGUUCUUUUUAUUUCUCCUCUUCUCUCCUCUUUUUCUUGUUAUCUGUUCCACACCCCUUUGCCUCCAGGGUGCACUAAUUUUAUGUAUUUUAGGUUUUUUUUUGGGGGGAGGGACAGUACAAGUGAGGCCCAGUCCCAUUCUUUCUCUUUUCUUUUUUUAGCCUAAUUCAAGACAAAAAAAAAGAGCUUUCAUGGAAAGAACAGAUGUCAUCUGCUUUGGUCUUUUGUGGUGGUUUUAUUUUAUUUUAUUAAAAAAAAUCUUCCUGCAGAUGAGGCUCAUUUAAACAUAAUGACAGGGCAACAAAAGGCCUUGUACAGAGGAGCUUCAGAUUUGGUUUGACUGAGAGAGGGAGCCCAAACAAGGAGCUGUCCUGUCCUUUGGGCUCCCCUCUUUUGAGUCCAGAGCAGCUGCAUUUCAGAUGCAAAUAGAGCUUUGGGAGGGGAAGGAGGAGGGCGGUGGAAAUGCCCAGGAAGCUGGCGUGCAGGUGUUGAGGAUUCCAGACAUCACUGCAACAACAGGCUCUGGGAACACAGAGCCCACAGACAGAGUGGGCUGGAGAGGGCUGGCUUGGAGGGCUCAAGUGGACCCGCAGCUGCACUGGACAUUCCUUUUUGUGGUCAUCAAUGGGCACUGUAUUGAAAAUAUGAGAGUGAGCAACUGGCACAUUCAGAGAAAGGAAACACUUGGAAACGAAGCAAAUGCGAAGCCGAAGGGGCUCCCCCUUAGCGGUGCCCAUUGUUUAAACCCCUGUACAUGUGUAAAAUAGACAUUUGAUACAUGAUACUGUGGCAUCCUGGGGCUGGAAGGAAUCCCUGGAAUCAUCAGAUUGGAGAUGUAUGGAAAAGCAUCAGUGUGUGGCUGUCUACGUCAUCCCAGGGUCCCUCUUUCGUGCUGCCCUGUGGGUCAAGACGUAUUUGCCACACCCAAAAGUGUCUGCCCCGUGAGACCACGGAAUUUCCUAUGCUACUUCUCUAGCGCUGGCGUCACAGGUUUGGGAUUCCUCAUGCAGAGAGAGUGGAGUAUCCCUCGCCUAUCACAAACUGCUAAAAACACCCAGCGACCACCUUUAAAUAAACCAGUCUAUGAGCCUCACCUUGCUCCUGGUUCACACGUGUGCAUCCUGUAUCCCCUCCUCCCCGGGCUGCUGCAGGCAGCGCUGCAGCAUUGCUCCUGCCUGAAGGAUGAGCCGGAGAGGGCUAAUAUACAAAGGAUGGACUGA
This 1370-nucleotide long non-coding RNA is filed under the name Chinchilla lanigera (long-tailed chinchilla). RNAcentral's name for it is "lncRNA (ENSCLAG00000027457.1)". The record is from RNAcentral. Lineage: Eukaryota; Metazoa; Chordata; Mammalia; Rodentia; Chinchillidae.